Molecule: ribosomal RNA, 486 nt
Filed under: Neisseria mucosa
Lineage: Bacteria; Pseudomonadati; Pseudomonadota; Betaproteobacteria; Neisseriales; Neisseriaceae
Description: bacterial SSU rRNA
Rfam family: Bacterial small subunit ribosomal RNA
Source: RNAcentral
AUUGAACGCUGGCGGCAUGCUUUACACAUGCAAGUCGGACGGCAGCACAGAGAAGCUUGCUUCUUGGGUGGCGAGUGGCGAACGGGUGAGUAACAUAUCGGAACGUACCGAGCAGUGGGGGAUAACUAAUCGAAAGAUUAGCUAAUACCGCAUAUAUUCUGAGGAAGAAAGCAGGGGACCAUUUGGCCUUCGCUGUUUGAGCGCCGAUAUCUGAUUAGCUGGUUGGUGGGGUAAAGGCCUACCAAGGCGACGAUCAGUAGCGGGUCUGAGAGGAUGACCGCCACACUGGGACUGAGACACGGCCCAGACUCCUACGGGAGGCAGCAGUGGGGAAUUUUGGACAAUGGGCGCAAGCCUGACCAGCCAUGCCGCGUGUCUGAAGAAGGCCUUCGGGUUGUAAAGGACUUUUGUCCAGGGAAGAAAAGGGCGGGGCUAAUACCCCCUGUGCUGAUGACGGUACCUGAAGAAUAAGCACCGCUAACUAAC